This 266-nucleotide ribosomal RNA is filed under the name uncultured bacterium. RNAcentral describes it as "partial 16S ribosomal RNA". It matches the Rfam family "Bacterial small subunit ribosomal RNA", at positions 88 to 354 of the family's 1533-position model. The record is from RNAcentral.
CAUUUUAGUGGCGGACGGGUGAGUAACGCGUGGGUAACCUGCCUCACACUGGGGGAUAACACUUAGAAAUAGGUGCUAAUACCGCAUAAGCGCACGGGACUGCAUGGUCUUGUGUGAAAAACUCCGGUGGUGUGAGAUGGACCCGCGUCUGAUUAGCUGGUUGGCGGGGUAACGGCCCACCAAGGCGACGAUCGGUAGCCGGCCUGAGAGGGUGGACGGCCACAUUGGGACUGAGACACGGCCCAAACUCCUACGGAAGGCAGCAG